Molecule: long non-coding RNA, 1810 nt
Filed under: Sus scrofa (pig)
Lineage: Eukaryota; Metazoa; Chordata; Mammalia; Artiodactyla; Suidae
Description: lncRNA (ENSSSCG00025031793.1)
Source: RNAcentral
GGAACUGGUGUUUGGCUCAGCCCCCUCCUCUGUCACGCUCUUCCUGUGUUCACACCGCAUGUGAACCAGGCAUCCGUUCCCGUCUUAGUCGUGCAAACUAUUGCAUUUGGAGUAGAUAAGCAGUUAGAUCAUGCUGCACUGGGAACUAUAUCUAGUCACUUGUGAUGGAACAUGAUGGAAGAUAAUAUGAGAAAAAGAAUGUGUAUAUGUGUGUGUGUGUGUGUGUGAGACUGGAUCACUUUGCUGUACAGUAGAAACUUGACACAAUACCAUAAACCAACUAUAAUGGAAAAAAAUAAAAAUCAAUAAAAAUAAAUAAAACCUUAAAUAAAUGAAUAAAUAAAGCAAGGUUAAGAGACCUGAGGGUGGUUGAGAGUACAUUUAGGAUGGUUGGAAAAGGGUUCUGAGCUGAAAUCUAAAUGAAGUAAGGGAGCCACUACCUGGAAGGGCACCGAAGAGAGAGGAAACGUAAGGGGGAGAGUCCAGAGGUCAGGACUUUGCUUAGCAUAUCCGUAGGUCAAAGUGAGGCCAGUGUGGCUGGAGGGCAAUGAGUAAGAGUGAGAGGGCUAUAGGCUGAGGUUGAGGGCUCUGCAGGCCAAGUUAGGGUUGUUCAUUGGCUGUUGGGAGAGAGUAUAUUGAUAUAUUGUGUUAGUAGUCACUAUGAUUACUGGCUGAGUCCACUGUUGCUAACAGCUUUUAAAACUUGGGUCCUACUAGAAUCUAUGGAAGUUCUGUAUUUGGUGGUCACACAGGCUUUGUUGAGCCCGUGCCUCAUCUCUGCCAGUGUAUCAGCAGUUGUAGAGUCUAGUCCAUUCUGGGACCUUUCUGUGACUAUUUAUCUAGAAUGUUCUCCUCUCAAAUUCAUUGCUGCAGUAGGCUGGGUCAGGCCAGGUUGGGUUGAUGUACAUAAUCGUAUCAUCCUUUAUUGUCUGGAGUUGGACGUUUUUAAUGUGUGAAAGGGUUUGAUGAGUGAAAUGGAAAUUUAUCUUGGCAGGUAAACAUGGCCUCCUUUGGUGAUGGGUUUUCAGAUUGUGUCUGUGACUUUGGAACAGUGUUCCUCAGGAAGCAGGAUUUGCAUGUCCCUCCUAGUUCACUUUUGGAGGACAGCAGUGAGGAGUGUCAUUUGCUCAAGAUCUCCUGUCUUAACUAGAACAGCUGUGACCUGACUCCAAGCUCUUUGCAGCCCAUCAUGUUGUGUCUGGUCCCUGGAGAAUUUGCUUCUAUUGCCAGCUCUGCUAAAUGAAGUUUUAACUUGAGGAUAAAGACAAAGUCUGUUUUAUUUAUCUUUGCAGUUAAAGGAUUUGGGUUCUCUAAGAUCUUCCCAACUCCAAAAUUCUAAGAUUUUAGUAGAAUUUAGUUUUAUCCCCUCCCACCCACACCGCCCCUGCCAACCCUGACCAGUCCAGGGGCCCAGACAUCACUUAGUAGGUUUUUUUCCUCCAUUUGGAUCUGUCUUCCUCACUAGUCCCUUUGUCUUGGGACAUAGCUGGUGGCUAAAUUUCUCUUUGGAGAUUGCGUGGGCAACUCUAGUCCUUAGUGAUUGUGCUGUAGGCUUGCCAGGCCUUGCAGGGGGCAUGAUCAAAGCACAUGACCUCCUGUUCUUGAAGCAAUUUGAAAAGCCACUGCAGUUGGUCCAGAUACUAAAGUUGAUCAUAAUAGGCAAGUACCAUAGUUUCCUGAUGGUACAGUGGGUUAAGGAUCUGGCAUUGUCACUGCUGUGGCUCGGGUUCGACACAAGCUGUGAUAGAGGUUCGAUCUCUGUCCUGGGAAUUUUCACAUGGUGUGAGUGCAGCUCCCCCCCCCAAAAAAA